UGCUCUCUUAACACAUUUAACAUUUGAGAUUAUAUUCCCAACUUUAGAAGCUCUUAAGUGUGUAGAAAUUCUUUCAAACAGGAUUUCCUGAAUUAACAGUCAUGAGUUUCUGCCCUAGGAAUUUUCUCCCUAUAUUGUUUGCUUGGGGCUUUACAACGAUCUAUAGUUGGACAUUAUGGUCUAUUGACACACCUCUUACAUUGAGGAUUCCCUGUAUUUAGAGCUUCGGAGUUUUGUAACAUAGAUUGGUCUUUUACUUUAUCCUUUGACUAUUAAAAUUCAGUGUAACAAAGUUGUAUAUACUUGAGUUCUAAUUUGUUCCUCUUCUAGCUUUUCAUCACCACUUGUUUGUUUAUUUAUUUUUCCCAUUCCUAUACACAGUGAUGCCAUUGAACAAAUAACUGACAGGUAAAUAGGAGAGGAUUAUAAAGCGAUAGGUUUUUGUAUCACUUGAACACUUAUGGGUACUUAACCAGUGACUGCUUAUGAAGUUUCAAAGUACUUUUAGGGGAAUAAA
This 517-nucleotide long non-coding RNA is filed under the name Bos taurus (domestic cattle). RNAcentral describes it as "long non-coding RNA NONBTAT007023". The record is from RNAcentral. Lineage: Eukaryota; Metazoa; Chordata; Mammalia; Artiodactyla; Bovidae.